Molecule: transfer-messenger RNA, 400 nt
Filed under: Mycoplasmopsis gallinarum
Lineage: Bacteria; Bacillati; Mycoplasmatota; Mycoplasmoidales; Metamycoplasmataceae
Description: Standard tmRNA
Rfam family: transfer-messenger RNA
About the family: Bacterial tmRNA, also known as 10Sa RNA or SsrA, is named for its dual tRNA and mRNA-like properties.
Source: Rfam by way of RNAcentral
GGGGGUGUAAUGGUUUCGACGUGCCUUGGAUUAUAUUAUCAUCAGUGGUUUGGCAGACCUUAAUGCUUCUAGGCUUUAGAAUCGCAAACGAAGAAAAAGCAAACGAAGUUAAUGAACUUCCUGCAUUUGCAAUGGCAAAUGCUUACCAAUCAAAUCUUGCUUUUGCUUAAGAAUUAGCAGCAAGUGUUUUAAUAAUUUUGCCUCAAAUUAUUAAAAUGGUUUAGAGGUAAAAGUAAAUAUGUUUUAAAGCUUGUCGAUUUACUUUUUAUUAAAAGCUUUAUAUAAAUUAAUUUUUUGAAUUUUUUAGUUAAUUUGUAUUAAUAGAAAAAAUCUAAACUGUAAAAAGUGAUAGUAUAAGUUCAUUGUGCGGACACGGGUUCGACUCCCGUCACUUCCACCA